UUGAACGGUUUCAUUCAAAAGUGGAAAUGAGAGCUUAGGUAUAUCUUAAAUUAGGAAUGAGAGAUGAAGAGCCAACUCAGUAGAAAAUUUGUGAAAAUGAGUUUUAAGCCAGGAUCAAAAGAAGCGAGCACCUUGUCACACAACUAUGAGAAAUUGAAAUCUUACACAACAAAAUAAGGUCUUUAUCUCAGGCAAGAGCUAUUGAUCUAGCAGAUACCAUAAUUCAAUGAGGAUUUCAGAGACAACAGCCCACAAAAUAUCAAUCCAACAGGCAUGACAUUGCAAUGGCUCAAAUUCAC
This is a long non-coding RNA of Tarenaya hassleriana, 299 nucleotides long. RefSeq lists it as uncharacterized. The transcript has 2 exons. The record is from RefSeq and is a predicted model, not a curated record. Lineage: Eukaryota; Viridiplantae; Streptophyta; Magnoliopsida; Brassicales; Cleomaceae.